Molecule: long non-coding RNA, 867 nt
Organism: Zalophus californianus (California sea lion)
Lineage: Eukaryota; Metazoa; Chordata; Mammalia; Carnivora; Otariidae
Exons: 3
Source: RefSeq, a predicted model, not a curated record
UUAAGAUUUUAUUUUUAAGUAACCUGUACACCCAAUGUGGAGCUUGAACCUGCAACCUGGAGAUCAAGAGUCACAUGCUCUACCGACUGAGUCAUCCAGGCGCCCCAUAUUGUGAACUUCUGUGGCAAUGGGUUCUAUGCAGGAAGUGCUGGGACUCAAAGCACAGGUGGAGAAACUGACCUUGGAUAGGAAGAGAGACAUCUCUUCUAUUGCAACAAGAGGAAAAGAGGCCAGGAUGAUAGACAUAGAUUUUCCAGCACUUCCUGUAACAGUAAAAACUUUAGGAAGGUUCCUUACCACCUUAUUGAUGAAGAUUUGGAAGUAGUCUUUGUUCUGGUUCUUCUUGCUGCUCUCCCUGACAUUAACAGCUAGAGUACACUUUGAAGAAAUUUGAGAUGGAAAUUGGGUUUCUCAAAAGUGCUUUGAGGCUGGCCAGAAGCAUUUUUACUUGAGCUGCUAUGUCCUAUGCUCAGAAUACAGCACAUGAUGGCCUAUGAUGAAGCUGUCAUCCAUAGCAUGCUCAGCCAUUAAUAUGUCACCAUUCUAAAAUAAAAAUCAAACCUGAACUCUGUAACUGAUUGGUCUUCAUCUCCUCUAAGGAAUAAAGACAAACAUUAAUGAUUCACUUCCAUUUACAGCAUUCCUACAUUGUAAAAAGGCACAGUAGUCUUUAAAGUAUUUAAUUAAAAGUGAUAAUGUAACACAUUCUCAUGCAAAAAAAAAAUCAAACUGGUGUAAAGUGGGAAAAAAAAGUAAAAGUACCUUUCCCCUUCCCCAAUAUUAUUACUCUGAAUUUUAAUAGGUAUUUCCAAAAUGCCUUCUAAAAGCUUUGUACUUAUUUACAUCCCACUAUUCUUGAAACCUGUU